UUUUCUUUUUUUUUUUAAUAUCCAGAAAUGAUACUUGAAAAUGGUAAAAGCUGCUUGUGUUCUAUGUGCACUUAAUAGCAUUGACACUCUAAAUAACUUUAAGCGACAGCUUUUUUACUUGUAGAGCAAGUGGAGCAGUUAGCAUAUGACAGGUCCUUGGAUGUUGCAAUUCCUCUCCCUUUCUCAACUGCUUUAUAAUUAAUCAGGAAAGGAAGCACAUAAAUAUCAACUAGUAUCCAAAGCAAUUGAAAAGGAACCUACUUAGUUUUUCCAUUGCUUUCAACAUUUGCGAAGAAACAAAGGAAAAAUGGAAAUUACUCUUUUGACCACCUAAGAUUGGAUCUUCAGUUAAUGUCGCUUUGGCAACAAAAGGGUUGUGGUGGAAAGUAAUUGAGUCCAUAUUGGUUAAAUCAAAUGGAUUAAUCUUAAUUUUACAGUUUGUCUUAGUCUUGUUCAUGGUUAUUGAACUUAUCAAUUACUUCCAGUGUGGUUAUUGAACUUCAAUUUGUAUCAAUAAAAUCACUCAACUGGGACCUUUGUUU
RNAcentral lists this unclassified non-coding RNA (542 nucleotides) under Hevea brasiliensis (rubber tree). The record is from RNAcentral. Lineage: Eukaryota; Viridiplantae; Streptophyta; Magnoliopsida; Malpighiales; Euphorbiaceae.